UGCCUAACACAUGCAAGUCGACCGGCAGCAUGAUCUAGCUUGCUAGAUUGAUGGCGAGUGGCGCACGGGUGAGUAAUGCGUAGGGAUAUACCUUAAAGUGGGGGAUAACCUGGGGAAACUCAGGCUAAUACCGCAUGAGCUCUUAGGAGGAAAGCUGGGGACCCGUAAGGGCCUGGCGCUUUAAGAUUAGCCUACGUCCGAUUAGCUAGUUGGUGGGGUAAAGGCUUACCAAGGCGACGAUCGGUAGCUGGUCUGAGAGGAUGAUCAGCCACACUGGGACUGAGACACGGCCCAGACUCCUACGGGAGGCAGCAGUGGGGAAUAUUGGACAAUGGGGGCAACCCUGAUCCAGCGAUGCCGCGUGUGUGAAGAAGGCCUGCGGGUUGUAAAGCAC
This 394-nucleotide ribosomal RNA is filed under the name uncultured organism. Its description in RNAcentral is "bacterial SSU rRNA". It matches the Rfam family "Bacterial small subunit ribosomal RNA", at positions 45 to 433 of the family's 1533-position model. The record is from RNAcentral.